UGGAGAGUGGCAUAGGCUACUUUUUAUCCCGGAAAAUCCAUGAGUUCCACAGGAUUUUUAAAAACCUAAAUUCACGCAGACGAAGUCGCGGGC
This is a long non-coding RNA of Maniola jurtina (meadow brown), 93 nucleotides long. RefSeq lists it as uncharacterized. The record is from RefSeq and is a predicted model, not a curated record. The transcript has 3 exons. NCBI's taxonomy places the organism in Eukaryota, Metazoa, Arthropoda, Insecta, Lepidoptera, Nymphalidae.